Molecule: long non-coding RNA, 801 nt
Organism: Lemur catta (Ring-tailed lemur)
Lineage: Eukaryota; Metazoa; Chordata; Mammalia; Primates; Lemuridae
Exons: 4
Source: RefSeq, a predicted model, not a curated record
UUCUUUAAUCUUCUUUCCCAAGGAAGCCAUCUCAAUCAGGUUCUAAGAUGAUCUCAUUCUGGCUCUACAAUCUGGUUCAAGGGAACCAUUUAUAUAAUCUUUGCCCCAUGGACUCCGCCUCCCCACCGUUGCACCUCUUUUUAUGCAGCUUCAAAGCUGGAGACAAACCCACCCUUAUCCUCUCAGCUUUCCAGGUCAGCUGUGGCAUUGCUGGGCAUUGUUGAGCACAGAUGGGGUCAUCUGGGCUUGGAUCCAGGCUGCAAGUGGUAUUCAGGCAUGAAAAUUGAGUGCCUCUGAUGCCAAAGAGGGGCGUCUGGGUCCGAGGUUGAAGUGUCACAUAUUUCCUGUGUCUGCCACCAGCACAGUGGCUGCAAUGCUUGGUUGCCCUCAUCAUACUGUCCUCGCUGCCUUCACUUCUCUCCACUCACGCCCACAUGGCCUGGAUUGGGGGAAGAUACUCUAAGACUCCUGAGAUACCUGCCCAACUGCCCCUCCCCAGCUGAGGAGGAAUAAACUGCUCAGAUUCCUUGUCCCUUUCCUGGAAUUAAACGCCUCACCCCACGCUCCCAGGGGUGUAAUCACCUGAGGGUGGGCAUGAGGACAAACGGGUGCUUGAAACUUUCCACCGUUACCUGGCAUCAUGGGCAGAGGGAGAGAGAAAUUCACGACAUGCCUCUGCAAGGUGACUUUGUGUAAGAAAAUGAUAAAAUAAAUAGCAGUUCUUUAUAACAUAGCAUAAAAAGACACAUGACAUUUAAAUCAAAAUGUUGUUAGUAUCUUAGCUUGUUUCGAUAAAUGUUA